RNAcentral lists this ribosomal RNA (301 nucleotides) under uncultured bacterium. Its description in RNAcentral is "partial 16S ribosomal RNA". It matches the Rfam family "Bacterial small subunit ribosomal RNA", at positions 509 to 807 of the family's 1533-position model. The record is from RNAcentral.
CAGUAGCCGCGGUAAAACGGAGGGUGCAAGCGUUAAUCGGAAUUACUGGGCGUAAAGCGCACGCAGGCGGUUUGUUAAGUCAGAUGUGAAAUCCCCGGGCUCAACCUGGGAACUGCAUUUGAAACUGGCAAGCUAGAGUCUCGUAGAGGGGGGUAGAAUUCCAGGUGUAGCGGUGAAAUGCGUAGAGAUCUGGAGGAAUACCGGUGGCGAAGGCGGCCCCCUGGACGAAGACUGACGCUCAGGUGCGAAAGCGUGGGGAGCAAACAGGAUUAGAUACCCCAGUAGUCCCUGUCUCUUAUAC